CAAUCAAACCGGGAGAUAGCUGGUUCUCCCCGAAAGCUAUUUAGGUAGCGCCUCGUGAAUUCAUCUCCGGGGGUAGAGCACUGUUUCGGCUAGGGGGCCAUCCCGGCUUACCAACCCGAUGCAAACUGCGAAUACCGGAGAAUGUUAUCACGGGAGACACACGGCGGGUGCUAACGUCCGUCGUGAAGAGGGAAACAACCCAGACCGCCAGCUAAGGUCCCAAAGUCAUGGUUAAGUGGGAAACGAUGUGGGAAGGCCCAGACAGCCAGGAUGUUGGCUUAGAAGCAGCCAUCAUUUAAAGAAAGCGUAAUAGCUCACUGGUCGAGUCGGCCUGCGCGGAAGAUGUAACGGGGCUAAACCAUG
Molecule: ribosomal RNA, 363 nt
Filed under: Salmonella enterica subsp. enterica serovar Infantis
Lineage: Bacteria; Pseudomonadati; Pseudomonadota; Gammaproteobacteria; Enterobacterales; Enterobacteriaceae
Also listed under: 5 other names
Description: partial 23S ribosomal RNA
Rfam family: Bacterial large subunit ribosomal RNA
Source: RNAcentral